Molecule: ribosomal RNA, 468 nt
Filed under: uncultured bacterium
Lineage: Bacteria
Description: partial 16S ribosomal RNA
Rfam family: Bacterial small subunit ribosomal RNA
Source: RNAcentral
GACGAACGCUGGCGGCGUGCUUAACACAUGCAAGUCGAACGGAAAGGCCCUGCUUUUGUGGGGUGCUCGAGUGGCGAACGGGUGAGUAACACGUGAGUAACCUGCCCUUGACUUUGGGGUAACUUCAGGAAACUGGGGCUAAUCCCGGAUAGGAGCUCCUGCUGCAUGGUGGGGGUUGGAAAGUUUCGGCGGUUGGGGAUGGACUCGCGGCUUAUCAGCUUGAUGGUGGGGUAGUGGCUUACCAAGGCUUUGACGGGUAGCCGGCCUGAGAGGGUGACCGGCCACAUUGGGACUGAGAUACGGCCCAGACUCCUACGGUAGGCAGCAGUGGGGAAUAGAGCACAAGGGGCGGAAGCCUGAUGCAGCAACGCCGCGUGCGGGAUGACGGCCUUCGGGUUGUAAACCGCUUUCGCCUGUGACGAAGCGUGAGUGACGGUAAUGGGUAAAGAAGCACCGGCUAACUACGUG